AGAGGACAUCAGGCACCCAGAAAAGCAACCCAACUCUUCGAAAGGAGCUGUGUGCCUUUGAGAGAGGAAGAAAAAGACUUCAAGGGGCAAGUUUACUUUAAUGCAAAGAGUCAGUUUUCGAGUAAUGUAAUCCUUUUUUGGAUAAACUGAUGUUGAGUAUGAUUAGCAAACCCUUGAUAAUAAAGUCUCUGCAUUUAAUGCUGAUAUCUCAGACCUAUGCUGUACACUUUCCAUAAGAUCAAAGUACAAUAUGUAAUUCUUAAUUUCUAUUCAACUGUAUAUUUGAAUACCUUUUAUUUUGUGUUGGGAACAAUGGGAAUAAAUGGAGUCAGUUAACUAGGUCUAA
Molecule: long non-coding RNA, 346 nt
Organism: Bubalus bubalis (water buffalo)
Lineage: Eukaryota; Metazoa; Chordata; Mammalia; Artiodactyla; Bovidae
Exons: 2
Source: RefSeq, a predicted model, not a curated record